GACGAACGCUGGCGGCGUGCUUAACACAUGCAAGUCUAACGGAAAGGCCCUGCUUUUGUGGGGUGCUCGAGUGGCGAACGGGUGAGUAACACGUGAGUAACCUGCCCUUGACUUUGGGAUAACUUCAGGAAACUGGGGCUAAUACCGGAUAGGAGCUCCUGCUGCAUGGUGGGGGUUGGAAAGUUUCGGCGGUUGGGGAUGGACUCGCGGCUUAUCAGCUUGUUGGUGGGGUAGUGGCUUACCAAGGCUUUGACGGGUAGCCGGCCUGAGAGGGUGACCGGCCACAUUGGGACUGAGAUACGGCCCAGACUCCUACGGGAGGCAGCAGUGGGGAAUAUUGCACAAUGGGCGGAAGCCUGAUGCAGCAACGCCGCGUGCGGGAUGACGGCCUUCGGGUUGUAAACCGCUUUCGCCUGUGACGAAGCGUGAGUGACGGUAAUGGGUAAAGAAGCACCGGCUAACUACGUGCCAGCAGCCGCGGUGGUACGUAGGGUGCGAGCGUUGUCCGGAUUUAUUGGGCGUAAAGGGCUCGUAGGUGGUUGAUCGCGUCGGAAGUGUAAUCUUGGGGCUUAACCCUGAGCGUGCUUUCGAUACGGGUUGACUUGAGGAAGGCAGGGGAGAAUGGAAUUCCUGGUGGAGCGGUGGAAUGCGCAGAUAUCAGGAGGAACACCAGUGGCGAAGGCGGUUCUCUGGGCCUUUCCUGACGCUGAGGAGCGAAAGCGUGGGGAGCGAACAGGCUUAGAUACCCUGGUAGUCCACGCUGUAAACGGUGGGUACUAGGUGUGGGGUCCAUUCCACGGGUUCCGUGCCGUAGCUAACGCUUUAAGUACCCCGCCUGGGGAGUACGGCCGCAAGGCUAAAACUCAAAGGAAUUGACGGGGCCCCGCACAAGCGGCGGAGCAUGCGGAUUAAUUCGAUGCAACGCGUAGAACCUUACCUGGGUUUGACAUGGAUCGGGAGUGCUCAGAGAUGGGUGUGCCUCUUUUGGGGUCGGUUCACAGGUGGUGCAUGGCUGUCGUCAGCUCGUGUCGUGAGAUGUUGGGUUAAGUCCCGCAACGAGCGCAACCCUUGUUCACUGUUGCCAGCACGUUAUGGUGGGGACUCAGUGGAGACCGCCGGGGUCAACUCGGAGGAAGGUGGGGAUGACGUCAAGUCAUCAUGCCCCUUAUGUCCAGGGCUUCACGCAUGCUACAAUGGCUGGUACAGAGAGUGGCGAGCCUGUGAGGGUGAGCGAAUCUCGGAAAGCCGGUCUCAGUUCGGAUUGGGGUCUGCGACUCGACCUCAUGAAGUCGGAGUCGCUAGUAAUCGCAGAUCAGCAACGCUGCGGUGAAUACGUUCCCGGG
RNAcentral lists this ribosomal RNA (1343 nucleotides) under uncultured bacterium. RNAcentral's name for it is "16S ribosomal RNA". It matches the Rfam family "Bacterial small subunit ribosomal RNA", at positions 28 to 1378 of the family's 1533-position model. The record is from RNAcentral.